AAAACAGGCCUUAGGGUUUCAGAACUCAUUCUUCUUUUCUCAAAAACCCUUGGCCGCCGCUCCUUUAUCUCUCAUUCAAAAAUAUCUCGUUUUUGGGAAAUGAGUGAAACCAUCUCUUUCAAAGGUGCAAAGGAGGAUGAUACCUCCGUAAGCUUCAAGAGAUCUGACUCUCGAAUGCACGAUGCACUCAAAUCUAUGGAUCUGAACGUUCGUUCAAGAGAAAGAGAUUCAAAAGCAUCUUCUCAAGCAUCUCCUCUUGUUUUUGAAACCUUCUUGUUUCGUCUUCAAGAAAUGUUUGAUGCUCAACUUAGCCAGUUAAAGUCAUCCUUGGAUGACAACUCAAAGAGGCUAAGUCGACUUGAAGAAAGAGUUGAUCAAUGGAUCUCUCUCUCGGAGAUCCUUACAAAAGGCGUGGAAGACUCUAAUAGUUACUCUAACUCAGAGUCCUAGGAGUCUCUUUAAAAGUAGCGUCCUUUUGUGUCACUCUUAUUUUUUUUCUUUUCUUGUUUUUUUGUCAUCAUGUUUUUUUUUGUUUUGGG
Molecule: long non-coding RNA, 539 nt
Filed under: Lupinus mutabilis
Lineage: Eukaryota; Viridiplantae; Streptophyta; Magnoliopsida; Fabales; Fabaceae
Description: partial ncRNA
Source: RNAcentral